RNAcentral lists this ribosomal RNA (468 nucleotides) under uncultured bacterium. RNAcentral describes it as "partial 16S ribosomal RNA". It matches the Rfam family "Bacterial small subunit ribosomal RNA", at positions 28 to 507 of the family's 1533-position model. The record is from RNAcentral.
GAUGAACGCUGGCGGCGUGCUUAACACAUGCAAGUCGAACGGAAAGGCCAGUGCUUGCACUGGUACUCGAGUGGCGAACGGGUGAGUAACACGUGGGUGAUCUGCCCUGCACUUCGGGAUAAGCCUGGGAAACUGGGUCUAAUACCGGAUAGGACAAUGGUUUGGAUGCCGUUGUGGAAAGUUUUUUCGGUGUGGGAUGAGCUCGCGGCCUAUCAGCUUGUUGGUGGGGUAAUGGCCUACCAAGGCGUCGACGGGUAGCCGGCCUGAGAGGGUGUACGGCCACAUUGGGACUGAGAGACGGCCCAGACUCCUACGGGAGGCAGCAGUGGGGAAUAUUGCACAAUGGGGGCAAGCCUGAGGCAGCGACGCCGCGUGGGGGAUGACGGCCUUCGGGUUGUAAACUCCUUUCGCUAGGGACGAAGCGUAUUUGUGACGGUACCUGGAGAAGAAGCACCGGCUAACUACGUG